UAUACAUGCAAGUCGAGCGCGGGAAGCAAGCAGAUCUCCUUCGGGAGUGACGCUUGUGGAACGAGCGGCGGACGGGUGAGUAACACGUGGGCAACCUACCUGUAAGACUGGGAUAACUCCGGGAAACCGGGGCUAAUACCGGAUGAAACAAAGCGUCGCAUGACGCAAUGUUAAAAGGCGGCAUAUGCUGUCACUUACAGAUGGGCCCGCGGCGCAUUAGCUAGUUGGUGAGGUAAAGGCUCACCAAGGCAACGAUGCGUAGCCGACCUGAGAGGGUGAUCGGCCACACUGGGACUGAGACACGGCCCAGACUCCUACGGGAGGCAGCAGUAGGGAAUCUUCCGCAAUGGACGAAAGUCUGACGGAGCAACGCCGCGUGAGUGAUGAAGGUUUUCGGAUCGUAAAACUCUGUUGUUAGGGAAGAACAAGUGCCAUUCGAAUAGGUUGGCACCUUGACGGUACCUAACCAGAAAGCCCCGGCUAACUACGUGCCAGCAGCCGCGGUAAUACGUAGGGGGCAAGCGUUGUCCGGAAUUAUUGGGCGUAAAGCGCGCGCAGGCGGUCCUUUAAGUCUGAUGUGAAAGCCCACGGCUUAACCGUGGAGGGCCAUUGGAAACUGGAGGACUUGAGUACAGAAGAGGAGAGUGGAAUUCCACGUGUAGCGGUGAAAUGCGUAGAGAUGUGGAGGAACACCAGUGGCGAAGGCGACUCUCUGGUCUGUAACUGACGCUGAGGUGCGAAAGCGUGGGUAGCGAACAGGAUUAGAUACCCUGGUAGUCCACGCCGUAAACGAUGAGUGCUAGGUGUUAGGGGGUUUCCGCCCCUUAGUGCUGAAGUUAACGCAUUAAGCACUCCGCCUGGGGAGUACGGCCGCAAGGCUGAAACUCAAAAGAAUUGACGGGGACCCGCACAAGCGGUGGAGCAUGUGGUUUAAUUCGAAGCAACGCGAAGAACCUUACCAGGUCUUGACAUCCUCUGACACCCCUAGAGAUAGGGCAUUCCCUUCGGGGACAAAGUGACAGGUGGUGCAUGGUUGUCGUCAGCUCCGGUCCUGGAAUGUUGGGUUAAGUCCCGCAACGAGCGCAACCCUUGAUCUUAAUUGCCAGCAUUUAGUUGGGCACUCUAAGGUGACUGCCGGUGACAAACCGGAGG
This 1152-nucleotide ribosomal RNA is filed under the name Virgibacillus dokdonensis. RNAcentral's name for it is "bacterial SSU rRNA". It matches the Rfam family "Bacterial small subunit ribosomal RNA", at positions 50 to 1169 of the family's 1533-position model. Lineage: Bacteria; Bacillati; Bacillota; Bacilli; Caryophanales; Bacillaceae. The record is from RNAcentral.